RNAcentral lists this ribosomal RNA (163 nucleotides) under Marlimorimia psilostachya. RNAcentral's name for it is "Pseudopiptadenia psilostachya 5.8S ribosomal RNA". It matches the Rfam family "5.8S ribosomal RNA". From Rfam's summary of the family: 5.8S ribosomal RNA (5.8S rRNA) is a component of the large subunit of the eukaryotic ribosome. The record is from RNAcentral. Lineage: Eukaryota; Viridiplantae; Streptophyta; Magnoliopsida; Fabales; Fabaceae.
CUCUCGGCAACGGAUAUCUCGGCUCUCGCAUCGAUGAAGAACGUAGCGAAAUGCGAUACUUGGUGUGAAUUGCAGAAUCCCGUGAACCAUCGAGUCUUUGAACGCAAGUUGCGCCCGAAGCCAUCCGGCCGAGGGCACGUCUGCCUGGGUGUCACGCAACGUC